Molecule: transfer RNA, 111 nt
Filed under: Candidatus Aenigmatarchaeota archaeon
Lineage: Archaea; Nanobdellati; Candidatus Aenigmatarchaeota
Description: tRNA-Ser
Rfam family: tRNA
About the family: Transfer RNA (tRNA) molecules are approximately 80 nucleotides in length. Their secondary structure includes four short double-helical elements and three loops (D, anti-codon, and T loops).
Source: RNAcentral
GCUGGGGUAGCCAAGCUUGGUUUACGGCGCCAGACUGGAAAUCUGGUGGGCGCAAGCCCGCGCGAGUUCAAGCGCCUUUUUGCGGCCGAACGAAUCUCGUCCCCAGCGCCA